This is a long non-coding RNA of Corvus hawaiiensis (hawaiian crow), 485 nucleotides long. RefSeq lists it as uncharacterized. NCBI's taxonomy places the organism in Eukaryota, Metazoa, Chordata, Aves, Passeriformes, Corvidae. The record is from RefSeq and is a predicted model, not a curated record. The transcript has 2 exons.
GUACUCUGUAAUUCCCUAGGUUCUUCCUUUCCCAUUUUUAAAAGCAGGAGCAGUUAUAACCCUGCAAACAGCCAACAACUUCUUAAGGGUGUUGAAAUCUAAGCUUGCUGAGAAUGCCAAAUUUAAGAAACAAAAACCUUACUAAAUUUUUUUUUCUUUUCCUUUUUUAAAACCCAGGUGCCACAAUGGGAAGAAUUAAUGAAGAGCAAGGCUUUAAACCAAGCUACAUAGUUGCUGUAGGCCCUGGUGACUUAUCCACUCUUUCAGGAACUCUCAGAGAUAAGUCAAGAGGCCAGUGGGUAUUAAGUGAAUUUCAGCAAGCACUAGAGGCUUGCGUACGUCUGACUUACUCAAACAUUCUUUUACUUUUUUUCCCCUACUCUGGCAUAUGUCAUUCUGUUAAAAAAAUAGCAUUGUUAAAUACCUAUCAUUAAUGUUUAUGUGUAUGUGAAGAAAGUAGCAAAAUUAAUAAACAUUUCCCUCAA